UGCGUAGGUGGUUAGGUAAGACCUGUGGGAAAGACCUGGGCUUAACCCAGGAAGGUCGCAGGUGACUGCCUGGCUAGAGGGCGGGAGAGGAGCGCGGAAUUCCCGGUGUAGCGGUGAAAUGCGUAGAGAUCGGGAGGAAGGCCGGUGGCGAAGGCGGCGCUCUGGAACGUUCCUGACACUGAGGCACGAAAGCGUGGGGAGCAAACAGGAUUAGAUACCCUGGUAGUCCACGCCCUAAACGAUGGGUACUAAGUGUCGGCGGGUUACCGCCGGUGCCGCACCUAACGGAGUAAGUACCCCGCCUGGGGAGUACGGCCGCAAGGUUGAAA
This 329-nucleotide ribosomal RNA is filed under the name uncultured bacterium. Its description in RNAcentral is "bacterial SSU rRNA". It matches the Rfam family "Bacterial small subunit ribosomal RNA", at positions 568 to 899 of the family's 1533-position model. The record is from RNAcentral.